RNAcentral lists this transfer RNA (64 nucleotides) under Metaphycus eriococci. RNAcentral's name for it is "tRNA-Ser". Lineage: Eukaryota; Metazoa; Arthropoda; Insecta; Hymenoptera; Encyrtidae. The record is from RNAcentral.
AACUAUUUAGCUAUAAAAGCAUUAUGUUUUGAAUACAUAAAAAAGAAAAAAUUUCUAAUAGUUU